AGUGAACGCUGGCGGUAGGCCUAACACAUGCCAGUCGAACGGCAGCACAGUAAGAGCUUGCUCUUACGGGUGGCGAGUGGCGGACGGGUGAGGAAUACAUCGGAAUCUACUUUUUCGUGGGGGAUAACGUAGGGAAACUUACGCUAAUACCGCAUACGACCUACGGGUGAAAGCAGGGGAUCUUCGGACCUUGCGCGAUUGAAUGAGCCGAUGUCGGGUUAGCUAGUUGGCGGGGUAAAGGCCCACCAAGGCGACGAUCCGUAGCUGGUCUGAGAGGAUGAUCAGCCACACUGGAACUGAGACACGGUCCAGACUCCUACGGGAGGCAGCAGUGGGGAAUAUUGGACAAUGGGCGCAAGCCCGAUCCAGCCAUACCGCGUGGGUGAAGAAGGCCUUCGGGUUGUAAAGCCCUUUUGUUGGGAAAGAAAAGCAGCAGGUUAAUACCCCGCUGUUCUGACGGUACCCAAAGAAUAAGCACCGGCUAACUUCGUG
RNAcentral lists this ribosomal RNA (492 nucleotides) under uncultured bacterium. Its description in RNAcentral is "partial 16S ribosomal RNA". It matches the Rfam family "Bacterial small subunit ribosomal RNA", at positions 29 to 507 of the family's 1533-position model. The record is from RNAcentral.